AAGGAGCUUGCUCUUUCCGGAUGAGUUGCGAACGGUGUGAGUAACGCGUAGGUAACCUGCCUGGUAGCGGGGGAUAACUAUUGGAAACGAUAGCUAAUACCGCAUAACAGUAGAUGUUGCAUGACAUUUACUUGAAAGGUGCAAUUGCAUCACUACCAGAUGGACCUGCGUUGUAUUAGCUAGUUGGUGAGGUAACGGCUCACCAAGGCGACGAUACAUAGCCGACCUGAGAGGGUGAUCGGCCACACUGGGACUGAGACACGGCCCAGACUCCUACGGGAGGCAGCAGUAGGGAAUCUUCGGCAAUGGACGGAAGUCUGACCGAGCAACCCGCGUGAGUGAAGAAGGUUUUCGGAUCGUAAAGCUCUGUUGUAAGAGAAGAACGAGUGUGAGAGUGGAAAGUUCACACUGUGACGGUAUCUUACCAGAAAGGGACGGCUAACUACGUGCCAGCAGCCGCGGUAAUACGUAGGUCCCGAGCGUUAUCCGGAUUUAUUGGGCGUAAAGCGAGCGCAGGCGAUUAGAUAAGUCUGAAGUUAAAGGCUGUGGCUUAACCAUAGUACGCUUUGGAAACUGUUUAACUUGAGUGCAAGAGGGGAGAGUGGAAUUCCAUGUGUAGCGGUGAAAUGCGUAGAUAUAUGGAGGAACACCCGGUGGCGAAAGCGG
Molecule: ribosomal RNA, 666 nt
Filed under: uncultured bacterium
Lineage: Bacteria
Description: bacterial SSU rRNA
Rfam family: Bacterial small subunit ribosomal RNA
Source: RNAcentral